UACAGAGGGUGCAAACGUUGUUCGGAAUUACUGGGCGUAAAGCGCGUGUAGGCGGCUCGGCAAGUCGGAUGUGAAAGCCCUGGGCUUAACCUAGGAAGUGCAUUCGAAACUGCCAAGCUUGAGUUCUGGAGAGGAAGGCGGAAUUCUCGGUGUAGAGGUGAAAUUCGUAGAUAUCGAGAGGAACACCGGUGGCGAAGGCGGCCUUCUGGACAGCAACUGACGCUGAGACGCGAAAGCGUGGGGAGCAA
RNAcentral lists this ribosomal RNA (248 nucleotides) under uncultured bacterium. Its description in RNAcentral is "partial 16S ribosomal RNA". It matches the Rfam family "Bacterial small subunit ribosomal RNA", at positions 524 to 771 of the family's 1533-position model. The record is from RNAcentral.